CCGGAACUAUUCAUACCAGUCUGGGGCAUCCCCUCUAUUUCCCUGGAAUUUACAGUGGUCACGGCAAUAAGACUUCCAAAGGAGCAAUAUUGUUGUGGCAAUCCUUCGGAAGGCACCAAUUUCAUCGACUAGGCAGAAAUUGUCACCAACAAUAAAUUCGUCUUCUCUAAGAGUGAUCUGGCUACUUAGGAGAAUGUUGAGCCUCACCGGGAUGUAAGAUGUAGAGGUGGCUGGCAUCUACAGUGUGUUGCCGCUGACACCAUGCUUGCUCAGGAUCCUCAAUACGAGGCUCGAGAUGUGAAAUCAUAGGCAUGCCGGCCUUGAUGCAUCGGUGAUUUUUUUUUAGUAUGAGAGCUUCUCCGU
This is a long non-coding RNA of Lolium rigidum, 363 nucleotides long. RefSeq lists it as uncharacterized. The record is from RefSeq and is a predicted model, not a curated record. The transcript has 3 exons. Lineage: Eukaryota; Viridiplantae; Streptophyta; Magnoliopsida; Poales; Poaceae.